Populus euphratica (Euphrates poplar) is the source of this 622-nucleotide long non-coding RNA. RefSeq lists it as uncharacterized. The record is from RefSeq and is a predicted model, not a curated record. NCBI's taxonomy places the organism in Eukaryota, Viridiplantae, Streptophyta, Magnoliopsida, Malpighiales, Salicaceae. The transcript is spliced from 2 exons.
GGAGAUGUACCUACCGACAACAUGUUUCAAGACAGACUGAACCUUCACAUUUAAGUUGAAAUAGCACUGCCCGGACGUGUGAUUACAGAAGUUGUGGAUCCAAUGCUUUUCAGAGAAUACGAGGAAAGAGUAGUGCUCAAUCCUCCUCUCAUAGAAAUAGGAUGAACCAUACUGAGAGUGGCAAAAUCCUGGAAUGUCUGGAUUCAAUUCUGAGGGUGGGAAUUUCUUGCUCUGCCGAGUUGCCACCAGAGAGGAUGGAUAUGAGCAAUGUUGUGUCUGAGUUGCAGCGGAUUAGGGACUCUCUUUCUCGAAGCAUGAUGCGUGGGCAGCAUGAAAUUGUUUCGGUGCGGCCACAAGAUUGGUAAAUGAGAACCUCAUCUGUUCAAGGAGUCAAAAAUUAUCUUAAUAUUCAUGGAAGGAGUGGCGUUGCCGAUGCAUAUGGUUAUCUUCCAGCAUUUUCCAUUUAAGUUUAUAUCCUCUAUACAUAUGUUUGCUCAAAGAGUGCACAAGUGUAUUGGACAUGAGCACUUUUAACAUAUAUUACGGACUUGUGGUAAUAAAUUUUCUUGUAUUGUAAUAAUUUCUUGAUAGAAAUUUAUGAAGUUGUUAUGGUAUUGCACUA